CGCAUCUGUGCAUGCAGCAUAUCAAUAAGCGGAGGAAAAGAAACUAACAAGGAUUCCCUUAGUAACGGCGAGUGAAGCGGGAAGAGCUCAAAUUUGAAAUCUUCAAGGUUUUACCUUGACGAAUUGUAGUUUAAAGAAGUGUUUUCUGCUGAAGUUUUGGUAAAAGUUCUUUGGAAUAGGACAUCAUAGAGGGUGAGAAUCCCGUAUUUGACCAUUAUUUUCAGCUUUGUGAUACACUUUCAAAGAGUCGGAUUGUUUGGGAAUGCAGUCCAAAAUGGGUGGUAAAUUUCAUCUAAAGCUAAAUAUUGGCGAGAGACCGAUAGCGAACAAGGUACCGUGAGGGAAAGAUGAAAAGAACUUUGAAAAGAGAGUUAAACAGUACGUGAAAUUGUCAAAAGGGAAGCGUUUGACACCAGUGUUGCUUUUCUCGAAAAUCAAUUAAAAAUGGCUCGAUUUUGUAUUGCUGAGACCUUAAAAGCUCACUGUACAUUUUUCGUGUCUUUUUUAAUGCACUUUUCGUUUAACAAGUCAACAUCAGUUUCUUUUGUUGUAAAAGGGUCAUUGGAAGGUGGCUUUCUUUUCGGAGAAAGUGUUUAUAGCCUUUGGCCUCUGCAAUCGGAGAGACUGAGGUCUGCAGCGUAGACUCUUCGGGGUUAGAUACAUUUGUGCUAAGUUAUAGCUUUUUAUAGACAACUUGUUGACUAUAAUUAGUCUUGUAGCUUACUCGCUUAUGCUAUUUUACCUACGCUUAGGAUGUUGAUAGUCACAGCGUGUAC
Molecule: ribosomal RNA, 776 nt
Filed under: uncultured Neocallimastigales
Lineage: Eukaryota; Fungi; Neocallimastigomycota; Neocallimastigomycetes; Neocallimastigales
Description: partial large subunit ribosomal RNA
Rfam family: Eukaryotic large subunit ribosomal RNA
Source: RNAcentral